AAAGAGGGGGACCCUUCGGGCUCUUGCCAUCAGAUGUGCCCAGAUGGGAUUAGCUAGUAGGUGGGGUAAUGGCUCACCUAGGCGACGAUCCCUAGCUGGUCUGAGAGGAUGACCAGCCACACUGGAACUGAGACACGGUCCAGACUCCUACGGGAGGCAGCAGUGGGGAAUAUUGCACAAUGGGCGCAAGCCUGAUGCAGCCAUGCCGCGUGUGUGAAGAAGGCCUUCGGGUUGUAAAGCACUUUCAGCGAGGAGGAAGGUGGUGAGCUUAAUACGCUCAUCAAUUGACGUUACUCGCAGAAGAAGCACCGGCUAACUCCGUGC
RNAcentral lists this ribosomal RNA (324 nucleotides) under uncultured Rickettsia sp. RNAcentral describes it as "bacterial SSU rRNA". It matches the Rfam family "Bacterial small subunit ribosomal RNA", at positions 202 to 508 of the family's 1533-position model. The record is from RNAcentral. Lineage: Bacteria; Pseudomonadati; Pseudomonadota; Alphaproteobacteria; Rickettsiales; Rickettsiaceae.